This 253-nucleotide ribosomal RNA is filed under the name uncultured bacterium. Its description in RNAcentral is "partial 16S ribosomal RNA". It matches the Rfam family "Bacterial small subunit ribosomal RNA", at positions 524 to 776 of the family's 1533-position model. The record is from RNAcentral.
UACAGAGGGGGCAAGCGUUAUUCGGAAUUAUUGGGCGUAAAGGGCGCGUAGGCGGCUAUGCAAGUGACGGGUGAAAUCCCUCGGCUUAACCGAGGAACUGCCUGUCAGACUGUGUGGCUUGAGUCCGGGAGAGGUGAGUGGAAUUCCCAGUGUAGCGGUGAAAUGCGUAGAUAUUGGGAGGAACACCAGUGGCGAAGGCGGCUCACUGGACCGGAACUGACGCUGAGGCGCGAAAGCGUGGGGAGCAAACAGG